UAAGGAAGGAAGGAAGGAAGGAAGGAAGGUCAAGAGAGGAUAAGGAAGGAAGGAAGGAAGGUCAAGAGAGGAUAAGGAAGGAAGGAAGGAAGGAAGGAAGGAAGGAAGGAAGGAAGGAAGGUCAAGAGAGGAUAAGGAAGGAAGGAAGGAAGGAAGGAAGGAAGGUCAAGAGAGGAUAAGGAAGGAAGGAAGGAAGGAAGGAAGGAAGGAAGGAAGGAAGGUCAAGAGAGGAUAAGGAAGGAAGGAAGGUCAAGAGAGGAUAAGGAAGGAAGGUCAAGAGAGGAUAAGGAAGGAAGGUCAAGAGAGGAUAAGGAAGGAAGGUCAAGAGAGGAUAAGGAAGGAAGGUCAAGAGAGGAUAAGGAAGGAAGGUCAAGAGAGGAUAAGGAAGGAAGGUCAAGAGAGGAUAAGGAAUAUGAAGAAAGGACAAGGAAGACGAAGAAAGGGUAAGGAAGAUGAAAAAGGUUGAAACUUCAUACAGGUAAGGGCAUGCGUAUCGCUAUACACGAAGAAGACUGCUCAGAAGACUACAAUGCAAAUAACAAACCGUGCUUUAGUUUUCGCUUGCAUGAAAAAUAGGUGUGGAUAAAACGUAGCUUACAGGGGAAUUUCUGAUCCAGGAAUGUAUGACAUAUUAAAUAGGAGCGGAAUAUAGACCCAGUCCGAUACAUCGAAUGCA
Long non-coding RNA from Schistocerca gregaria, 676 nucleotides. RefSeq lists it as uncharacterized. Lineage: Eukaryota; Metazoa; Arthropoda; Insecta; Orthoptera; Acrididae. The record is from RefSeq and is a predicted model, not a curated record. The transcript is spliced from 3 exons.